Long non-coding RNA from Raphanus sativus (radish), 781 nucleotides. RefSeq lists it as uncharacterized. The transcript has 4 exons. NCBI's taxonomy places the organism in Eukaryota, Viridiplantae, Streptophyta, Magnoliopsida, Brassicales, Brassicaceae. The record is from RefSeq and is a predicted model, not a curated record.
AAUAUCUCGUUUCAUUAAGAGGAGUGAGAUAUCAUGAACCGGAGUACUGGAAGUUUGGAGAAGAGGGUAACAAGUACUUCCGCCAUGCCACUGGUCAGCUCUACGCUAUUUCCAGGGAACUUGCGUCUUACAUAUCUAUAAACCAAAACGUACUUCACAAGUAUGUGAAUGAGGAUGUCUCUUUAGGAUCAUGGUUUCUUGGAUUGGAUGUGGAGCAUGUAGAUGACCGUAGGCUCUGUUGUGGUACAACAGAUUGUGAGUGGAAGGCACAGGCAGGCAACAUGUGUGUUGCCUCGUUUGAUUGGAGCUACAGUGGGAUUUGUAGAUCAGCGGAUAGGAUGAAGGAUGUUCAUCGGAGGUGUGGAGAAGGCCCAAAUGCUCUCUUGGCUGCAUCUUUCUGAACAAAAAAGUAAGAGAAGAAACACAAUUGAGGAAGAAGAGUACAGGGAGAGACAACAUCAUGUUGUUGUAGUGUAGACACACACUGUAAAACUACUCGAAACUUCUGUUUCUAUAUAUGUAUGUAUGUAUGUAUCUUUUGAAGUGAGAUGAGAAGGGUGCUUUUUGCUCUCCUUUCUUGUUUCUUUUUCAGUUAUCUGAAGGUCUGGAGUCUUCUGCACACAGAACUGCAGAUUCUAGCUGCAAAAAAAAAGCAGACUCCAUGAGCGCACUUUCAGAGAACAUAGUCGUUGCAUUGAGGUGUUAUUUUUGCUUGUGCUUAAAACAUCCAAGUUUUGAGUUUUGCUUCUUUAUGGGAUUUACUUCUUUUGUUUAUUUUGUA